RNAcentral lists this long non-coding RNA (267 nucleotides) under Vigna radiata. RNAcentral's name for it is "long non-coding RNA (VRAD_LNC008456)". The record is from RNAcentral. Lineage: Eukaryota; Viridiplantae; Streptophyta; Magnoliopsida; Fabales; Fabaceae.
GAAAAUGCCUCCCAGGGAUGCACAUCACUUUCUCAAUAUCUUCAUAAUCCCUGGCCUCCCCUAGUAUAGCAGCAUACCUGCAUUGCUCUCCUGGCCGUUCAGUCCCUAAGAAGGCGUUAAUGGUGUCAGGAUCAUAACUGAUCAAAUGUCCCCGCACAUAGCUCAUGUAUCUCUCUGCUGAUACUCCUCCCUUGGGCAAGGCAUUGGCAUAAAACUCCUUUACCAACUCAAUACUAGCUAGUGCUGGAUAUGUAGUCAGUCUCUCCC